This 429-nucleotide ribosomal RNA is filed under the name uncultured bacterium. RNAcentral describes it as "bacterial SSU rRNA". It matches the Rfam family "Bacterial small subunit ribosomal RNA", at positions 355 to 796 of the family's 1533-position model. The record is from RNAcentral.
UCGAGAAUCUUCCACAAUGGACGAAAGUCUGAUGGAGCGACGCCGCGUGGUUGAUGAAGUCCUUCGGGACGUAAAAACCUUUUAUGAGGGAGGAAGUAAUUGACGUUACCUCAUGAAUAAGGGGCUCCUAACUCUGUGCCAGCAGGAGCGGUAAUACAGAGGCCCCGAGCAUUAUCCGGAAUCACUGGGCGUAAAGGGUGUGUAGGCGGUCGUAUUAGUCUUUUGUGAAAGCUUUCCGGCUUAACCGGGAAAACGCGGAAGAAACGGUACGACUUAGAGGUUGCGAGAGGUAUAUGGAACUCAUAGUGUAGGGGUGAUAUCCGUUGAUAUUAUGGGGAACACCAAAAGCGAAGGCAAUAUACUGGCGCAUACCUGACGCUGAGACACGAAAGCGUGGGAAUCGAACGGGAUUAGAUACCCCCGUAGUCC